UGGAACAUUCUAGAACAAACCAGUCAACGUUUAAUUUACAGCUUUAAUUCUACACGAAUAAGGUCUAUUUUUGUGUAGCAUUUUGGAGUCACACAGGGGGCAGGUAGGCUAGCACCCCGGUGUCGACCGAACAUUCUAGAACAAAAUCAAUUUAUUAAAUUUACAACUUUAACAGUCAACGAAUAAGGUCUACAGUUUUAUAACACGUUAGAAUAUGUCAGGGGGUAGGCUAGCACCCUGUGUGAGCUGUAUGGUAGAGGGAAAGGUCUAGAACAAAUCUGUUAGUAUUCAAUUUCCAGCUUUCGUUCUACAUAAAUUAGGUCUAAAGUUGUGUAUCACUUUAGUGUAAUCCAGGGAGAAGGCUAGCACCCCCGCGUAGAACAUUCUAGAAUUUGAUCAGCAUUUAAUAUGGUGCUUUAUUUCUAGGUAGAUAGGAUCUAAAAUUGAGUAAAAUGAUGUGAUAUUACAGGGGUAGGCUAGCACACUUCAGUGAGCGGCGGAUGGUGGAUUUUACAUUCUAGAACAAUAAAUUGCAGCCUUAAUCCUGUCAACAUAAGGUCUAAAUUAAUACGUUUUGCUACCUCAGGGGCUAGUCUCCCCUCCCGCGCCCUCGCGUCUUAUUCUGGUCUAGACGCGCAUCUGGAGUCAGUGUGCCGCCCGCCGUCCGCCGCGUAUGACGCACUGCUGAGCGCCGCCGCCCGGACCUCCUCAGAGGUAUCUGAUUUAGGAGCAGCAUCACCUUGCUCUGAAGGCAGCUGACGCAGCAGCGAGUCUCGCGGCAGAUUCAUAACAUCUCGGGGAUGGGUUCCACCUCCCCCCCCCCGGACCUGCACUCCCAGCAGCAGCAGCAGCGCACUCAACACUAGACUGUCACUCACUACUCGCCUCAUCUGAUGCGCGCCAGUAGUGCGUGAGAGAUGACGGAGACCUCGUGCUCUGUGAUUAGGUAGCUCGGGCAGGCGCGGAUCCCGGAGGGGGGGGGCGGGGACAGACCCCAUGGAGUCUCACUCUAUGUGUUCUGCUCUCGACCUCCUCCUGGAGACGGAUGCGCGCCUGACUGACAACAUGUAAGAUAGGGUUAAGCUAGCGAGUAAUUCUUAUAGAGUUUAAAUAGACACCAAGUAUGUGAGCAAUUUUUAUUCUGCUUUUAAGCCUAGGAUAGCUGCCCUGUGGCCUGGGCCAGCAGGCCAAGGCCACAGGGCCUCGGGGGUAGCAGCGACGUGGCCUCACACGUUGCUCCUAUUCCUCUUAGUUUCUAAGACUUCAAUCCCUAAAAUUAAAAAAACUAAUUAUACCAACAAAACACGCA
Trichoplusia ni (cabbage looper) is the source of this 1309-nucleotide long non-coding RNA. RefSeq lists it as uncharacterized. Lineage: Eukaryota; Metazoa; Arthropoda; Insecta; Lepidoptera; Noctuidae. The transcript is spliced from 3 exons. The record is from RefSeq and is a predicted model, not a curated record.